UACGGAGGGCGCAAGCGGUGUUCGGAAUCAUUGGGCGUAAAGCGCGUGUAGGCGGUCGCGUAAGUCGGGUGUGAAAUCCCGGGGCUCAACCCCGGAACUGCAUUCGAAACUGCGUGGCUAGAGUCCCGGAGAGGGUGGUGGAAUUCCCAGUGUAGAGGUGAAAUUCGUAGAUAUUGGGAAGAACACCGGAGGCGAAGGCGGCCACCUGGACGGUGACUGACGCUGAGACGCGAAAGCGUGGGGAGCAAACAGG
This 253-nucleotide ribosomal RNA is filed under the name uncultured bacterium. RNAcentral describes it as "partial 16S ribosomal RNA". It matches the Rfam family "Bacterial small subunit ribosomal RNA", at positions 524 to 776 of the family's 1533-position model. The record is from RNAcentral.